AUGUAGGGUGGGCACUGAGCAGAGAGAGGCUUUGGUGGUGAACACGCAAGCAGCCUGGCUUCAUGGAUCAUACAGGCCAGUGGAGGGAGAGACGUUACAUGGAUCAUCCCAGAUAACCAUCACAGUUGUGAUAUAGGGUAGCAGUGUGACAGUCCUUGUGCUCCUUCAGAGAAAGGGCUGGCUCUGGAUUAGCCAAAGGGGAGUGGCAAUGAGAGGACCAGAGAAAGUCCCUCAGUGGAGAACCCUGGAAGUGGCAGGUCUCUCAGACCAAAGAAGUCCACAGCAAUUUUGUCACCACCUCAUAUGGCUUUUCAGAGACUUUUCUGGUGACCCCUCAGAGGACAGGAGCUGUAGGAAAUUUAUUACUUCCUUAUUAGCGAUAGCUGUAGCCAUCCUAUUGUCUCAGAAUUUCCAUGCCAUGUAAAUACUGGGGUGAGGGGUGGUGGUAAUGUGCCAGCAGAUGGGGGGCAUUUUGAAAGCUAAAGUGGUGUCAGCUCCCACAGAAGGGCUAAUUUUAAACAUGCAAAUAAUUUUCAGUUCCACUUUUCCUUCUUCCUGUUAGAGGGAAGCUGUACCCUGUUGCCAUUUCGGAGGCUCAAGCAAACAAUGUCGUUAUUAUGCCAGAAACGAUCUACUUCUCCAGGGCAGGAACCGGGUGGUGUUUUUCUGGGGGCCUGUGCCAGGACCCGGCCCACUGUUAUUUCAUGGCUGCUGAGUAAAUAAAUGAGCGAAUAUUAAAAAUUGGCCCUACUAUGGAGUCCAUAACAUAGUGGGUCUAAUCUUUCUUGGAGGUAUAAGACCCUUACAGUGUAUUUGUGAAAGGAAAGGGUCCUCUCCCCAAAGGAAAUACACAUAUAUACAAUUUUGUAUCCAAUUUCAGAGACUCUUUGAAAUAGUCUAUGAAGCCCAGGUUAAAAAAAUCUGGGUUUUAAAGCUGUGUAUAAGGUUAGAGAAGUAUCAAGAAAGUAUCAGGUGAAAAGUAUCAGUCCUUCUCUUCAAAGGUAACCACUGUGGGAUUCAAUCAGUGUCCUUCCAGGAAAAAAAAGAAAAUUUCUAUGUAAUGUACAAUGACAUCUUUUUAAACGUUACAUUGAAAGGACUGUCAUAUACACAUAGGAGCCCUGGUGGUACAGUGGUUAAGUACUUAGCUGCUAACCAAAAGGUCAGCGGUUCGAACCUACCAGCUGCUCUUUGGGAGAAAGAUGUGAUAGUCAGCUUCCAAUGUUACAACCUAGGAAACCCUAUGGGGCAGUUCCACUAUGUCCUGUAGGGUCGCUGGCAGUUGGAAGUGACUGGACGGCAACGGGUAAUAUACAUAUUGCUCUCUACAGCUUUUUCAUUUUCUCAGUUACCUUGGAGAUUGUUUCCUCUCUGUACCUAUAGCUCUGACUCUUUUAAAUAACUCUCUGGUAUUCCGGUAUGUGAAUUGACCAUAAUUUAUUUGCUGUCAUAAAUCUGCUACAGAGGAUGCUUUUGGUGCCUGUUUCGUGGAACCUUCGCAAGAAUAUCCAUAGGGUAAAUUACUAGUCAUGGGAUUGCUGGUUUAGAGGGUACACGCAUUGACAUUUUGAUAGCUACUGUUAAAAGUUGUCCCCCAGAAAUGAUGCUUCGAUUUGUGCACACACCCGCAGAUUUUCAGAGGGCCUGUUUCUCCCUGCCCUCUAAAUUGAGGAUUGUUACAUUUUUAAGUUUCUGGCACUCCGAGAGGUGAAAAAUUGUAUCCUCUUGAGUGAGUUGAGCAUCUUUUCCUAAAUUUGGGCCAUUUGUGUUUUUUCUUUUUUUGGGGGUUAACUCCAAGUUUGUUUCCUUUGUCCAUUCAAUAAUAAUAAUAAAAAAAGAUGUUUUCGUUAUCGAUUUGUACAAGCUCUUUGGAAACUAAGAAAAUUAGUCCUUUGACUCUUAUUUGUGUUACAAAUAUAUUUUUUCCAACUAUUUUAGAUGCAGCUCUUAUUCCUUAGAAGCUCAGAGAUAAAUUAGACCCUUGGGUGGUGUGUAGGUAGAGACUUGCACAGAGAGCCUUAAACCUGGAGCCAGACUGCUUGGUGGGAGUCAUGGCUCCACCACCUGCUAGUUGUGUGACCUUGGGUAGGUGCCUUAACCUUCCUGAUCCUUGGUGUUCACAUCUCCGAAGUGCUCAUAACCGUAAUACCUCUCACAGAGGGUAGCUGGAUAGGUCAAGUGAGAGAGAUCACAUUGCGUUGAAGUCCUUUGUUAAUGGAUGUAGAAAUACAAGCACAACAUUUUACAGAGUGUAUUCCAUUUACUCGAGAGUUAGAUCUUAAAGUUAGGGCAAAAGGCUAUAAUUAUGUGCUUAGCAUUCAUAGUUAUGAAUCAUCUAAACUGCUACAAAAUCUCUUAAAUUGCCCACCAUGGAUUGUGUGUGUGUCCGUAUGUAUGUGUAGAUAUAUACAGAUAAUCCCCGACUUACAACAGGGUUCCGUUCUGACAGUUCAGUCGGAAGUUGGUUCUGACAUAGGGGAGUACCUCAUUUUUUUUUUUUGGUUUUCAUUUUUACUGCCUUUUAUUAUCAGUGUCUUUAUAAAUCAUAGCAAGUGAACAUCUGAGAAUGAUAACAUCUGCAGAUUACGAACUGCAACACUGUGUGUAGUACAUAACACUAAUGAUAAGAUGUACGAAGACAAAAAAAGGUCGUAAGUUUGGUUCGUUGUAACUUGAAUACGUCAUAUGUCGGGGACCACCUGUAUGUAUGUAUGUAUGUAUGUGUGUGUAUAUAUAUAUAUAUAUAUACACACGUAUGUAUUAAAAUGUGUAAUGUGGGCUAGAUAGUAGAUCGGUAUAGAGUUUUCUGAUAGCACGAUUUAAAUUACGUCUUUUUUUAAACCAAGUGUGUGCAAUUGAAAUAAUAUAGGUUGUGUAGCCAGUAUGGUCCUAGCCCUGAAGGAGCAUGUGGGUAUUGACGUCCUUUAAAAAGUGUGUCCUCUUUGGGUUGAGUUGAGCAUUUCUCUUUAUCUUGUGACCUGACCAGCUCUGGCUGUGACCACCUCCUAUCUCUGGGUAAUUUUCUGUGGGGCCAAGAGGAGUUAUUUUUAAGCCUCCAACUGAAAGUUUAAAGACUUAAUCCUUGGCUCUAAUUGUGGGCAAUGGGAGGCUGGGCAAGUCUGCGCUGACUGUGCCACCUAUUUCCACAGCAGCAAGGUGACUCCACAUGGUGAGAAGCUGAGAGGCCACUGCAUUUUUGUGUUGCUGUAUCAUGGAAGUUCUUCCUCCCCCACUGAGAGUGGACCAUGCUGGCGGUCCUGUUUCCCAGGCCAGAAGAUGGAGGCCUGCUGGGAGAUUGUUCUGGGUUUGGAGGGAGAUUGCUGCCCAGUCCUUGGUGCACGGGCAUUGGGGUGAGACAGAUGUGACUCCUCCACCUUCUAGCUGUGUCACCAACUCUCUUAAUGCUCAGAGCCUCACUUGUCCUCAUCUGUAAAAUGGGAACAACAAGAACACCUACCUCAUAAGGUUGUUGUGGAGGAUUAAAUAGAUCUGCAUAACAAGUGGUUAGCAUAAAACAAACCCUCAGCAGAUGUCAUGUCAACAGAUGUUUUGCCAUCUUAUUUUGCAGGUACACUGGCAUAAUAUACUAUUAAAAAAAUAUAUAUAUAUUUUUUUCACUGCCUGGUUUGCAAGGCUCUUUCACAUACAUAAGCUCAUUCAGUCCUCGCGGCAUCCCUGUGAAUUUGUCAUUGUUUUUCCCGUUUAACAGGUGUGGCUCAGAGUGACUGUAAGUGACUUGCCCAAUUCAGGUGUCAUUUGUCUUUUGCAUGAUAAUAAUGUGCAUUUAUAGUGCAGCCCAGUUUAAAAAUUAACCGAGGUUUAGAAUUCGCUUAUGAGAGGUGAAUUGGGCAAGUGAAUCCUCUAAUUUGGCUCAUACAUAGUCAUUAGCUUGAACCGUAUGAAAUGAUUGCCUUUAGUCCUUUGAAUAUCAUUGAUUUUAUAUGGUUCCAACUAAUAUGUUCCAGAAAAUGUACUUUUAAAAUGAAGCUUGAAAAAACCAAACCAUAGACUUAAAUGCUGUAGGGCAGUGUGUUUAAAACCUUGGGUAAUAAAAUUGAAUUAGUGAGUUACGACCAGCAUUAAAAAAUGAUUGAAUAAGAAAUAUUAGAGUCUUGCAUGUAGGAAGGGUAAGUAGACACACACACACACACACACACACACACACACACCUGGGCACACAUGUGUAAUGAAUUGCAUAUGACCUGAAUGUCUUAUCAUAAGUUGAAUCAUUGCCAAAAAAACUGAAAGUCGCUGUUAUAGACUGGCAGUGGUGGGAGGUGCAGGUUGGGGUGGGGGGGUGAAGGUGGAUUCUGUUUCCAGGGAGUGCAAAAAGCCAGUAUGCAAGUCCCCAGGUAUGCAUCAUCAGUGCCCCCAUAUAUUGCUGAAUACCGUCCUGCAGCACGGGACCAGGAAGGACCAAAUCCUGGAGAGCACCUUAGGAAGGGAGUGCGUAGGUCGACUGAAAGCGGAGGAUGCCUGCCUUAACUGCCUGUCUGGAAACGUCAGUGGGAACUGCCAGUAACAUAAGCUGUUGGGCGAUGCACUGUGUUCUUUUGGUCAACAGGUUUGAUAGAGAGGUAAUAUUUAACUGCCUACUGCGUUGCCCACUUUAAAUCAGAACUUACAACCACCUGAGGGAAACUGAGGCUCAGUGAGGCUGUCACCCAUCUGGUGGGGGAUUCAGUCCAGACUUAGUACCUCUAGCUGUGCUGCCCUCAUACCAGCUGUGCUGAUUAUAGGGCCCAUGGCAAUUUGCACAGGACUGAGUGUCCCCUGCCUGGGGGCUUUUAGCCCAGUUGCCUGGAGGAUCCUGACCCUAAGGUCGAUUCAAUUUCCACAUAAGCCAGUUUUUUUUUUCCUUAUAAAAAAGUAGAAAAUACAGAUAGAUAAAAAGAGAAAGCAAAAGUACCUGUAAUCUCCAUUCCCCCAAAGAUAAGUACCGGAGCCAUUUUGAUGGGCGAUCUUUUUCCUUUUUUAGUGCCUGUUUUAUCUGCCUAUCUAUGUAUACUAAAAUAGGAUUACCAACUACAUAUGCUUUGUAAUUUACUUUUUUUUUUAGUAAAUAAUUGGGAUAGAUGUUGUAUCCCUGGGGGUACUCCAGGAAGCCAGAAGAUAAAUAAACAUGAAGCUUCUUCCUGGAGGGCCACUGCUACUCAGUGGAAAGUAUUUGGAAUUAUUUCUUGGAAACAAACAAACAAACAUAGACAUAUUAUGGAUUAGAUACCAAAUUUGCAUUUUCUUCCCCCAGCAAAUUCAGGAGAAAAUAAAUCACUACCCACGCAGACUCUCUGGGAAUGUGAGUUCCGUCUCCCCUGCUAUUCUUAGGGGCAUUUUGGGGCAGUCUGUGAAGUACUGACAAUAUGUUGUAAACAUUUUUCCUUGCCCCUGUGUAGUCUUUCCUUGUAUAACUUUUAGCCGUUGCAUUCCGUCCCUUCAUAUGGAGGCACCAUAAUCUAUUUAAGUAAUCUUGUGAUUAGCUUGCUACUGUAAUUCCAAUUUUUUUUGUCAUGAUAAACACUGUCAAGGUGACUUUGUGCAAAAUUUCUGAACAUAUUUCUGAUGAUUUUCUUAGGGUAAAUUGAGAUAAUAAAAAUAACAGGAGCGGCUACCACAGGUAGAAUAUUUAUUAUGAGCCACUGAUAGCACUUUGUGCACAUUAACUCACGUAAUCCUAUAAUGUAGAUGUGGGGAAGGAAACUGAGGCUCAGGUAGUUGUAGUCUGAUCCAUGGACACAUAUUGUGCUGGAACCUCAACCAGCGAGGUGUAGGCUUCUUUGGAGUAAAGGGGAGCUGGACAGGAGAGUUGACACGGGCUAGGGUAUAUCUGAGUCUCCAAGGAGGAUAGCUGGGCUCAUGGUCUAUUCUCAUAGGUUUUAGAGGUUAUCUUCCCGAGGGAUGGUAACACGUUGACACACUCUGCUCAGAACUGUGACGUGGCAGCAGUGAAAUGCUUUCCAAAGUUUCAAGAGCAGCUUUACCAUGGAUUUUAGACCCUGAAGUUGUGAAGUGGUGGCGGCUGCCUGACCAUUCUUGGCUCCUAGCCACUGCCGUGGCCCUGUUCGAAUGAAUGACAUAAUGGCGUCUCCUUGGGGUCUUGACCUUCCUGUUGUGAAUGAGUUUGGAUUUCCUGAGCUUGAAAUCGGACAUGGAUGACAGGACUUCAGGGCUCGCUAUAAAAGUUCGACUAUGGAAUAAAGCAUGGACAUCUCAAUCAGCAGAAGUGUGGAUCUACAUCCAGGCUCUUCCACCUACAGCUGUGUGACUCUGCUCUCUGCCCAGAACCUGUUACUUCAUUUGUUAAAGGGGUGAUAAUUGCCGGGCCAUGGCAUUGUUAGAGUUAAAUGAAGGAAGGUAUGUAAGGCACCCAGUUCAGAUUAUGGCUGCAUAAAUAGGCCACUUAAAACCAAAAAAACCCAAACCUGUUGCUGUUGAGUUGAUUCCAACUCAUAGCAACCUUAUAGGACGGAAUGGAACUGCCACACGGGGUUUCCAAGGAGUCGCUGGUGGGUUUGAACUGCUGACCUUUUGGUUAACAGCUGAGUUCUUAACCACUGCACCACCAGGGCUCCAAAUAGGCCACUUAGUAGGCCCUUAAAUUCUACUCCCAACUAACCUCUCUUUAUUAACGCAGCGCCUCCCAGCUUUGGGGCUGCAGAGUGAUACAGAGAAUUUGCUGAGGUUGUCAUGUGCUCAAGGUAGGAGGAGAUGCUUUGAGGGCACUAUACAACUUCUGUCAGUCUUGAUGCCAGGGAGUAUCGUAUAGACCAAAAACCAAACCAGUUGCUGUCAAGUCAAUUCUGACUCGUGGUGACCUCAUCUGUGUCAGAGUAGAACCAUGCUCCAUAGGGUUUUCCGUGGCAGAUUUUUUUGGAAGUAGAUUGCCAGGCCUUUUUUGCAAGGUCCCCCUGGGUGGUCUUGAACCUCCAACCUUUCUGUUAACAGAUUAGCAUGUUAACCAUUUGUACCAUCCAGGGACUCUGUUGUUUAGAGUGGCCACCAAAUCCUACUGUAUGAAGAGAAAUUGUUGGGGCCGUGGGAGUGGGAGCUCUUAUUUAAGAUGACAUGGGAUAAGACGCAGACUCUCAGCCUCUAUCUGACCACAGAGUUUGCAACCAGCCUUUUGAUUUCUUUUGGAAGAUGCACACGGGAAACCCCUGGUUAAGAACCACUGCUUUAGGUGAUAACUGUUUUGUAGUCAUUGUAUAGAUUGCCCGUGUCCAGACAGUCAUACUAGAUGGACGGGCUGUCCUUCCAUUCCCAUGUAAUCAGCCCAAUGGUGUCACUAGGAGGGUGCAGGGGUGGGGAUCAUACCAGGUGACAGUGUCAGAGGGGGUGACACCAAAAUAACCGUCCAUAAAAUUUUUAUGCAGUGUUUCAGCAGAAAUUUAUUGUUUUUUAUAAAAAUAUCCCUGUAGUUAUAACAACAAAAACAUUUUUCAUAAGCCCAGCUUACAUGUAUCAAUAUACCUACACAGCUGAAACUCUAUGCUCAUUUACUUUUUGAACUUUCUAACCUAAUGCGCUCUGGUCAGAGCUGUCAUUAUUACCCAGUUACAAUGACUCUUCGAAUCACGCGGUUUCAUCGGCACUUGCUACAAGCACGUGCUGUUGUUUUCGUUGCUGCUAGGAGGACGUCCAUGGGGGUGGGGGGGUGGGUGACACCGUGAGUGACUGCACUGGAUGACAGCAACCCUAGUGACAUCACUGAAUCAACCCCAUGUUGGUAGCUGACUUAGUCCCAGUGAGACCGUGGGUCUGAACUAACAAAAGCAUUUGCAGAUGUGACACAUAAUCCGGGUUGUUGGGUCUCAAAAGGGGGUUCACGUCUGCCCCGGUUGUUCAGUACUUUUGAGGGAUCCUGUGGUAGAGUAGGCUUUAGUCUGGGACGGUUCUAUUUUCUCAGCCUCAUUUUUCUCCUCUGUAAAAUGGGAAUACCUUAUUUUCCCACCCUGCCUGGGGAGGGAAAGGAAGCUUGGGGUGUUAAUGUGAUAUGUGUGGUGCUAGGCUCCGCUGCAGGGGAUGUGAAGUUGAAGGAAGGAAAGACUCAUGGUUUAUUAGGAGCUAUGAGGCCAAAUGUGCCAAGUUCCACACAAGAGGUAGGCCUGGUGUCUGGAGAUCCUGUUACAAUGAGAUUCACUGCCAAGUUUCCCCUCCCAGCAGCUCUGAGCAAUUUUCAGCAUGUAGUGUGUUCAGAGGCCCCGAGGCAUGAAAGUAGAGAUGGUGCCUUCAGAGCCCUGGACAGUGAGACCAGCGGGAAUGAAGCCAGUGGAGAAACCCACUCAGAUCGUACUGCCAGCCAGCGGGGACGUAGCAUUGGCUUUCUGAAAAUUAGCAUUCAUACAACUUUUCAGGAAUACAUCAUUUUGUGAAGCCAGAGGUCCCAGCUCAGUGUUUGUGAGACCAGGUCGGGACAUUGUCAUGUGGGGGCUUGAUGUUUUAUCCAGAUUCCAGCAGGUUGUUCCAAGCUGUGCCCUGCACCUUCAUAACAUCAUGGAAACAUGAUCAGUACCUAGAGCUGCAUGCAGUUGUGUGCCAGGCUGUUUUCUAUCCUUAAAAUCACCACCUCCAUUUUACAUAUGAGGCACAGAGGGGGAUAGAGACUUGCCCAGAGCCGGGAUGUGGCUGUCCUGAUAGACUUGAGUUCUAAUCUUGCCCCUAUUGCUGUGAUGAUCUGCAAUUUCCAACCAACCAACCUGCUGCCAUUGAGUUGAUGCUGACUCAUGGCAACCCCAUGUGUUACAGAGUAGAACUGCUCCAUAGGGUUUUCUUGGCUGUGAUUUUUAUGGAAGGAGGUCACCAGGUGUUUCUUCUGUGGCACCGCUGGUGGCAUUCAAACCACCAACCUUUAGGUUAGCAGUGGUGAUGGUGUUGGGUGCCCUUGAGUCAAUUCUGACUCAUUGCACCGCUAUAGGACACAGUAGAACUGCCCCAUAGGUAUUCCUAGGCUGUAAUCUUUACAGGAGCAGAUUGCCAGGUGUCUUUCCAGGUAGUUCGAACUGAUUUGUUCCGAUUCAAGCCACUUCUGAGAAUUUGCAUUUCUCACAAGUUCCCAGAUUAUGCUAAUGCUGCUGGUUAGGGACCAAAUUCUGAGAACCACUAGUAAAGCCAAAGCCAAAAACAAACCCAUUGCCGUUGAAUUGAUUACAACUCAUUGCAACCCUAUAGGAUAGAGUAGAACUGCCCCAUAGGGUUUGCAAGGAGCAGUGGGUAGAUUUGAACUGCGACCUUUUGGUUAGCAGCCUGAGCUCUUAACCACUGUGCCACCAGGGCUCCACUAGUACAGCAGUGGUUCUCAGAUUUAUUAUACGUAAGAAUCACCGAGGGAUUGUGUUAAAAUGUAGAUUCUGAUUCAGUAUAUCUGGGGUGGAAAGGCAAAGUCUCAGCAGGAGUUUGAACCUGAACGAACCAGUUUGAAACCCUUCUUUUCUCCUUCAGAGCUGCUGCUGGGUUCAAAUCGCCAACCUUUCAGUUAGCAGCAGAGCGCUUAACCGUUGUACCACCAGGGCGCCCUUCAGGUUAUGUAGUAGUUGAGUACAAACCAUAUGCACACCAGGGCUCCUUAUCAGCAACUUAGUAGCUUUCCAAGUCUGGGUUUUCUCAUGUGCUUAAUAGGAAUAAUAAACACCUCAGAGGGUUGUGAUCAAGAGUCUGUGGAAUAAUAUAUGGGAAGCCCCCAGCACGGUGCACAAACAGUGCUCCACAAAUGCCUGGUGCUGUCAUUGUUGUUAUUGUUUCUCUCAGCAGUGAGAGCAGAGGACACGUGCUUUUCAUGAGCUUUUCCAGGAACAGAGAUUGGUUUGCCUUGAUCCAGGUGUACAGUCUGUCUCCGGCCCUGUUUAGUAAAUGUUUGGGGUACAACUGCCUAGGAGGAAGGGAUGUUAGCUGGAGAAGACCCGAAGUCUAAGAUUCAGAAAAUAAAGCAAAACCUGCCCACAGGGAUGGAAUGUGUGAUCUCAUGGUCUGAUGGCCUGGACCAGCUGAGGUCAUUGCCGUGUAACUCGGUAGUUAAUCAUUGUUCAUAGGAAGAUAAAUAUAGGAUCAUUGCCUCAGAAAAGUCACAGUUAGAAAGGACCUUAGGGACGUGAGGCCAGGGAAGAUAAUGGGUUCCAGUUUGCAUCCAGCUUCAGGCUGCUUGGCCCACACAUAGAAGGGAUUCUCAGAUCGCUUGAGACAUCCUGGUUCAGCAGGAGAGAGUUCCGGGAUCAAUUAGUGAUGCCUGCCAUGGCAACAAGUAAGGCAAGAGGUGACAUACAUGCUGUUCAUUUGCUGUCUUUGAUUUCAGAGGGCACUGAGGCCUAAGAAUUGCCCGAUGGAAGGUCACCCAGCAAGUCAUAAGAUUACAAAAAUCUGUCUUGGAAGACAUCUCUUAAGGGUGUCUGAUGCUUGGAUUUCAUGUCUGAGAAAAUAGUUUUUGCUUGCCCAUCUUCGGCUAGGAGGAACCCACUAUCUCAAAAGGAGUGGAUUCCAUCUUUGGGCAACUCUCCCAAUUAUUACUUCCAUCUUGGACUGGUGGAGGCGUUAGAGGCCUCUCUGGGUAAAAAAAAAUCUCUGGGUAGGUUCUUCUAAUUCAUGGCUGCACCUGAGGAAAUUAAAAAAAAAAAAACCAAAAAACAAAACUGGUUCAGGGCCUCCACCCCAGAUCAAUGGAACCUGAAUAUCCAGGUAGGUGGCACACCCCAUCCUUGGCAUUGGUAUUUUUUCAAACUUCUCCUGUGGUGCUAAAAGGUAGCAGCUAAUAGGUUGAGAAGCACUGAGGCCAACCUUCCUUUUCCGGAAAUGGAGUCUCAGAAAGAGAGCAUGAUUUUCCAGGGUUUUGUAGACAGUGGCACAAGGGGAAGGAAAACUAGGAAAAAAGAACCGUUUAUCAAGUGCCAACCAUAUACCAGGCUCUUUUACUUUCCUGCCAAGACACUUCUUAUCCCACAAAUGAGUCGUGUCAUUCCCCUGCCUAAAACCCCCUGUGGCCUCAUCCUGCAUUUAGUAUAAACCCUAGCUGUGGCCUGCCUGCAAGGCCCUGAUCCUCAGAUUAGAUAAUCUGACACCUCGCUCCCCUCCAACCUCAGGACCUGUGUCCUCACCCAGCUCUCCCUUGGGUCCUGGCACUUGCUGCGGAGGUUCAACCCCACAUCCUUCUGGCUCCUCCUUAUUCCUUAGCCCUUAACUCCAGUGUCCUGCCCUUUCCCAGACCCUUCUCUCCCAUGAUCCUGCUUCACUCCCUGCAGUCUUUAUCACAAUCUGAAACUUAUUUGUUCACUCAUAUCUGUCUGUCUCCCUGCUCCCUGGGUUUUGAGCUUCAGGAGGCCAGGGACCUUGUCUGUCUGGUUCUCUGCUCCAUCCCUUGAGCCUAGAACAGAACCUGGUUCAAAAAGAUGUUUGCUGAAUGAAUGAAUUGAAAGAACAGUCCUGACAGAGCUGGUAUUAUCCCCAUUACGGUUGACUGAAAUCUGGUUUACUGCCUUUCCGCACCAUCAAACCAAUUGCCGUUGAGUCGAUUCCAACUUAUGGAGACCUCAUGUGUAUCAGAGUAGAACUGUGCUCCAUGACUGAUUUUUCAGAAGUAGAUCUCUAGGCCUUUCUUUCGAGGUGCCUCUGCAUAGACUUGAGCCUCUAAGCUUUCGGUUAGCAGCUCAGUGCUUUAACUGCAUCACCCAGGGAUUCCAUUUCAUUUCCAAUUAUCGUUUAAUAUUCUUACUUUUUGCACUGACAAGCCUAAAUAUAUGCCUGUGAGUAUGUGUGUGUUUGACGGGGGAUUAAAGUCAUCCUUGAGGGUGAGGUUUAGUGUUCUCUAGCAAAAGGAGCACAGACUUUAGUCCUUUAGACUUGGGUUUGAAUCCCAGCACUGCCUCUUACGAGCUGUGUGAUUUUGGGAAGCCCCUGAACAUCUCUGAGGCUCAGUUUUUCUUGACUGCUUGAAAUGGACCUCCAUAAUAAUGACUAGCUGACAUUGAUUAAAUGCUUUCUAUGUGCCAGACACUGUGCUAAAUGCUUCAUGUGUAUUGACUGAGCAAAUCGUCACGACAACCAUCAUUUUACAGGAGAGGAAAAUAAGGUACAGAGAGGUUAGGCAACCUACCUGAGGUCACACAGCUAAUCAGUAGAGGAGCCAAGUUUGCUUGGUUCCAGAGUUAAGGCAUCAGGAAAUUAUGAAGUCAUGCCCAAAAGGCCCCAGAAGAGGCGGUGGUGCAGACACACUCAAUGCGUUCCUUUCCCCUCCCCCUUUGACCUUUACUCUCAUAGUAACCUUUGAGUUUUCUAACUGUUUUGUUCUCAAGUUGGUGACAAAGUACUGAUUUCCUGUCUGCUGGAGGUACUCACUUCCAAACACGGUUUCUGUUGACAAGACCUCAGUGAUCGAGCUUCAUGGGGGCCCUGAGGGCUGGGCAGGUGUGUCAGGCCCUGGCCCUCAGGGAGUGUGGGCCGAUGAAUACAUUUUCCCAUUAAAAAAAAAUUCUGCCUAAGAUACUUAUUGAGUGCUUACUUUGUGCCAGGCAUUGCAACUAUGACCAGUAAAAAAAUUAAUUUGCGGCCCUAUCAUCCAAACUUCCCAACAGUUCAUUUUUCUGUGACCAUCACCUGGGCAUUUUUCUGGGUUGCAAUCAUAUUUAUUGGGGAUGUAAAUUUGUGCCUGUGUCACAGGCCUGGGGUGGCUGUCAUCUUGCUGAGGCUUUUUCUGGGAAACUUUGCCCCGUUUUAAUAAACGGAAGAGUGAGCAGCCAGUGUCCCACUUCAAAUGGCUGCUUUAUCUCAGGACAGGCAGGCCUCAGUGUUCACGUGAGCCUGAGCAGCUUAAAAAUAAGUCUGGUUGUUUAUUUAAAUUCAUUUUUUCCUGAUUAUAUAAGAGUGGUAUAACAACAUUAAAAGAAAUUUUGAAAAUAAAGAAGGAAAAAAGAAAAGCCGCUUAUCACCCUGAAUCACAUUAUAAAAAACCACACCCGUUGCCAUGGAGUGGAUUCUGACUGAUAGCAACCAUCACAUUAUAACUCGGGUUUAUUCUAGGUGGCUUCUUAUUUAAAAUACAGUGAAACCUGUGAGAGCUGAACUUGAUGAGUCUGCAUUGUUUUUCUGGAUCUUUCAAGUUUUCCACCUUUGACGGGGUCUAGUUACGCCACUUUUCUAUCGCUCGUUUUACUGGAAAAUAUUUGAGUUUUCCUUCUCUGACAGCCUUACACAGUUUCCGGCUUUUGCAGGUUUUACUGUAAUUGUAGUCAUGGAGCUGGGACAGUUUCAGAUCCUUUUAUGCCAAAAGGCUAAAUGAAGCAAACAUUUUUUCCGUGGUGAUACAUGGAUGAUAUAACCAUAAUUUUUAAUAGCUGCAGAGUACUUCAUGGAGUGAAUUCUCUGUAAUUCACUUAACCUUUCCAUGUUUGGAGCCCUGGUGAUGUAGGGGUAAGAGCUCGGCUGCCAACCAAAAGGUCGGCAGUUCAAAUCUACCAGCUGCUACUUGGAAGCCCUAUAGGGCAGUUCUACUCCAUUUUUUAGGGUCACUGUGAGUCAGAAUCUACUCCAGAGUUGUUUUUUUCCCCCUUCUUUAGAGAUUUAAGCCCCACAUGUCUGUCAGUUUGUCGUACUGUGGUGGCUUGUGUGUUGCUGUGAUGCUUGAAGCUAUGCCACUGGUAUUUCAAAUACCAGCAGGGUCACCCAUGGCGGACAGGUUUCAGCUGAGCUUUCAGACUAAUGCACACUAGGAAGAAGGACCUGGCAGUCCACUUCUGAAAAACUAGUCAGUGAAAAGCUUAUGAAUAGCAUUAAGCAUAACAAUAAUUGUGAGGAUGGCUCAGGAUCAGGUAGUGUUUGGUUCAGUCGCUAUGAGUCAGAACCGACUUGAUGGCCCCUGUCAACAACGAGAAGCAGUGGCCAGUUUUGCACCCUUGGAAGUAGCGUGUGUGUGUGGGGCGGGACAUCUUCACACACAUAGCAUUUGCCAUUAAACAAAAUUACUUCUUCAGGAUUAAUUUCCAGACAUCUUUAUAAUCUCUGACACUGCCUGCCAAAUGACUUUCCAAAAGGGGCACAUUGUUUACAUUGCCAUUAGAAUGUAUGAGACUGCCUGUUUCAUUACGCCCACGCCAGCACUGGGUGUUAUUUUUUAAAAACAGAAUUUAAAUUUAAUAUUUGCAUUUGCAGACAUGCCAGCUGAGCUGUGUGGUGGCUGCCUUGCACAAUUUUUUGACCGUAGGUGACUCAUGUAGAACCUGUUCUGUGUGAUACUUAAAAAAAAAUUUUUUUUUUUGCAUACUUAGGGAAAGUAUUAAGUCACUGUCUGUGUUUUGUACUGUAGUCUGCCCUUGACUUUUGGUACCUAGAGGAUUUCUAACUGCAGCCGGAGACUAGCUGGGCCUAGUUGCAUCUUACCUGGCUGCAAAGAUAAUUGGCUACAUUCAUUUUAGAGCUAAUUUUAGGGGUGUAUGCUCUCCAUUGUGGGUACUGUCCUAUCUAGCUUUAAGCCCAAAUUAUGUGAUUGCUGAUAAACAGUGCAGAAGGAAAUAUUACUGAGCAGGUACUAGAUAUCUAGACCUUCCUGGUGAUAUCUCAAGAGAGGCAGCAUGUGCUAGCAUGAUGGGAAGAGAAUGUUGAGUUCAAAUGCAAGCCUCAUUCCUUGCACGGUUGACCUUGAUCAAGUUCCUCUCCUCCCCCAGCCCUCCUCCACCAUCCACCUUAGUUUCUCCAUCUGUAAAUUAGGCUGAUAGUACCUAGCGAGAAGGCUGAUAUCAGGAUUAAUGGUAUCAGGUAAUCAAGGAUUUAGAUAGCUCACAGGAAAUCAUGCCUGUUGUUGGUAUUGCCAUAACACUGGCCUGAAGGGUGGGGGUAGAAGAGGAAGGAAACAGGCAGGUCCAGAUCCUUCUCCUUUAGGAGCUUCCCGUCUAGUUGAAGAGAGAGGAUGGUCUGGAUGGAGAUAGUUUUAAGUCAGGGUUAACAGUCAGGAGUUGAGAUAGGAGUAAAGCCAAGUGAGUAACCAUUGUCGAUGUUUAGAGGUGAACGUUGGGAGCCCAGGACCGCAAAGGAAAGGGGCUCAUUCCGGGUACCGCGAGGGUCACACCUGGCGGAUGCAGAGUGUUUGUGGCAAGGUGGACUGGGGUCAGACUCCCAGGCCUCAAAUUCUACACAGUUUUGACUCUUAUUGUAGAGAAGGAGGCAUCAUGGGAGGAUUUUUUUUUCCAGGUUGUAAAUAUUCAUCGUUUUAUUUUUGUUAUGUUUAUUUUGAUGGCAAUUAAAAAAAAAACAGCUUUAUUGAGAUAUAAUCCAAAUACAUAUAAUUCAACAUUUUAAAUGUACAAUUCAGUGGUUUUUAGUGUGUUCAGAGUUGUGCAACCAUCGCCACUAACUAAUUCCAGACGUUUUCAUUACGCCGAAAAGCAGCAUACUCACUAGCAGUAACUCCCGAUUUCCCUCUCGCUUCUGCCCUUGGCAACCACCAAUUUUGCUCUCUGUCUCUAUGAAUUUGCCUGUUCUGGACAUUUCGUAUAAAUCAUAUCGUGUAAUACGUAGCCUUUAGUGUCUGCCUUCUGUGACUGAGCAUAAUGUUUUCAGGGUUCAUCCAUGUUGUAGCAUGUAUCAGUAUGUUAUUUCUUUUAUGGUUGAAUAAUAUUCCAUUAAGGAGCCCUGCUUCCCACCCGUCAUCUCCUUUUAUUGCAUUUGCAUCAAAUAGACAAAGCAACCCAGAAACCAGAUGAACUUGGCAAAACUGGGAAAAUGAAUUUGGAAGGUAGGUUGGGGAAGAAAAAUAGUAGGGCUCCUUCUGUAAUAAAACUUGCUAAUGUUCUGGUAAAAGUGAUGUUGAAAGUCAUUGUCUUACUCCUCCUCCUCUGAGAUAAGUCACACAAGGGGUGGUAUCAGGGGCACAGAAUUCCCCCCGGAGGACACAGUGUGACAAACUUUGCGUGAGCUGGUCUGUUAAAAGAAAAACAAGAAGUGAUGUGUUGGAAACAACCUAAAUGUUAAGCAAUCCAGUAUUGUUGAAAUUAUGGAUAUUUACGCAGCCAUUAGAAAAGCUUAGAAAGCAUGUUUAAUGAUAUGGGAAGAUGCUCACAAUAUAAGAAAUUUAAAGACGUGGGCUAUAAAAUAAUAUACAGUAGAAAUAACAAUUGGGGCGAUAAAACAAUCAAACAGAUCUCAAACUCAAAAAAAUGUGUUUGGUGUGGGUCUGUGUGAGUGCACAGGAGCCCCAGUGGCGCAGUGGUUAAGUGUUUGGCUGCUAACUGAAAGGGUGGAGGUUCGAAUACACCAGCUGCUCCAGGAAAGAUGUAGCAGUCUGCUUUCUUAAAGAUUUACAGCCUUGGAAGUCCUAUGGGGCAGUUCUACUCUGUCCUAUAGGGUUGCGAUGAGUUAGAAUGGACUGGAUGUGAGAGACUUUUUUUUAAAAUGUAGGUGCACUACAGAGUGUUGGUUUAAAGCAAGUUAGACAGACCUAGAACAAGUCUGGGCUCUGUAACAUACUUGCUAUGUGCCCUUAGGCAAGUCACUACACCUUUCCGAGCUCAGGCAUCUCAUCUGUAAAAUGGAACUGAUAUUCUACCUCUUUGGGUUGUUGUGAGAAUUAAAAGAGUUAUCUGGGCCUUCAGGGAAAGGGCUCCAUGCCUACAGUUUUGGGCUACCAUGUGAGGUCCAUGUUAUCUUUUGCUCCAGGCCUUUCAGGGGCUCCUCAGUGCCUUCUGGAUAUUGUUAAGUUCUUUGGGUUGGCAUAAUAUCUGUUGCUGUUGAAUCAUUCCUGACUGAUGGCGACCUCAUGUAUGUCAGAGUAGAACUGUGCUCUAUGGGGUUUUCAAUGGCUGUUCACCAGGCCUGUCUUCCAGGGUACCUCUGGGUGGACUUAAAACCUCCAACCUUUCAGUUAGCACCAUCAGGGACUUCUCUUGUGGAGGCACACAGGGCAGUAUUUCUGGACACACAUUCAGGGGCUUGCCAUACCAGAUUUCUUGCAGUUUCUCCAGUGUGCCGUGCCCUUUUUGGCCACCAGGUGCUUGCACAUGCUGAAGUAGCUUUUUUUUUUUCUUUUUUUGUCUCCCUAGCUUUUUUUUUUUUUUUAGCUAGACUGAGUGCCCCAAAGGUACCAUGUCACAGGGUCUGGCACCUAGUAGGUAACCAUUUGUUUAAUGAACUGAAGAGGUAGGACUUGAGUUGGUUUGUUAAAUAAAAAGUGGGACUUGGUGAACAAAGUGGGAACAUUGUCCCAAGCGGUGGGCAGGACAAAGGGCACUGGUGGUCACUGCAUGUUUAGGGUCCAGACCCGCUGGGCACAGGCAGAGAUCAACACUGGUACAACCUGCCUUACAGCGUUCAUUGCCACGUGGAAGUUUGUUCCGUUUUGUAGCUUGGGGCUGUGUAUGCCUGUUUAUAUGAGAGAUCUAUUCAGACUAAGCCUGUGCAGUAACCGAUGUAGCUAAGGCUGCUAGCAUUGUGCUGAUGGUAAGAUGAGAGCUGGCCUUGGAGACAGAGGCAGCCUGCAUUCUGUUUCUGGCCUUACUACUUAUUAGCUUGGUGCUCUUAAGUGGGGUGACUUGAGGAAGUAAACGAAUACUUGUCAGACAUCCAGAAUGUUCUAAGUGCUUUUAUGCAUGUCAUUCUCAUUGAAUUCUUAUAGCAGGGGUGCACUCAGAAGUCUAUGGCCAGGAAGUUACCUAGUGAUAGACCACAGAUGUGUGACCUGUGUUUAUAAGGCAGUAGGGAGUGGUGGGAACUCUGGCAGGCCUGAGAAGCCAUGCCCUUUCUGAAGGGGAGCACCUCCUGCCUUUUUUUUUUUUUAAUUAUCACAUGUACUCACUGUUCUGUGUGCUUUAUGAACGUUAACUUGUUUAAUCUUCACAACAGCUUGAUGAGGUAGCUAUGAGUUUUUAUCCUCCUUUGAGAGUUGAAGGAUCUGAGGCACAGAGGGGUGAAGUAACUUGUGCAAGGCCACAUGACUAGUUAGUGUUGGAGCUGGAAUUUAAACAGCUAGGGGACUUGGCGUUGUCAGUUAUUCUGAUUUUUUUUUUAAAGAAAAUCUCCUGGUUUUAAAAAAUAUUGCCACAGAUUCAUCAAACAAAACCCUGUUGGGGCCAGAUGACACCCAUGUUCAUGGAAGACUGGGUGUGGCUCUCACAGGACCCGGUGGAGUCCUGAUACCUGCCCUUCCUGUCUCAGAAGUAGUCAAAAUGAUACAGGGAAGUAAUGUUCAUGAAAAUAUUUUGUCACCUGUAAAGAGCAAUGUAAAUGUCAGAUAUAGGGUUAGUAAUAGUAGCUAGUAUGUCUAUUGAGUGCUUGUGGGGGCAGUGGUGGUUCAGUGAUAGAAUUGUUCCCUUCAUGUGGGAAACCCAGGUUUGAUUCCCGGCCAGUGGACUUCAUGCAUGGCUACCACUUGUCUGUCAGUGAAGGUUUGGGUGUUGCUAUGGUGCUGAGCAGGCUUCAGUGGGGAGUGUAGACCAAGACCAAGAAGAAAGGUCUGGCGAUCCACUUCUAAAAAUUAGCCAAUGAAAACCCUAUAGAUCACAACAGUCCAGCCUGCAACUGAUCAUGGAGAUGGUGCAACACUGGGCAGCGUUUCUUUCCACUGUGCAUGGGGUCACCAUGAGUUGGGGGCCAACUCCAUUGCAGCUAGCAACAUACUGAAUGCUUACCAUGUGCCAAAGCCCUGUUCUAAGCACUUCAGUUUUCAUGACUGCCCUCUAAUGUUGAGGUAUUGCUCUCCUCUUCAUAGAUGAGGAAACUAAGGCAAAGAGAGGAGGUCAAAUACCUUGUCUCAGGUUGCACAGCUGGGAAGCAGUGGAGGCAGGAUUAGAACCCAAGCAGUGGGCUUUUAUCCACUCUGCUUAUUGCCUUUGUGUAGACCAAACUGUGUGAAGAAUUACCAGGGAAUGGGAAGGGAAUGAAUAUCUCUUAAGUCCUGACUGGUGCCAGGCACCAUGCUAGGCAUUUUCUCUCACAUUAUUUCAUUUAACCCACAUGAUAAUCCUGACACCAUCCUGGGGUCUUUCUGUUAAAGAGGUGGAAACAGACUCAGAGAGGUUAAGUGACUUGCCAAGAUCACAGGGGAAGGGAGUGGCAAAGUGAGGAUUUGAACUUGAGACUGAGAGUGCAACCAGCCCGAUGCCUUCAAGUCUAUUCUGACUCAUGGUAACCCAUUAUGUGUCAGAGUAGAACUGUGCUUCACGGAGUUUUCAAUGGCAGAUUUUUCGGAAGUAGAUCUCCAGUCCUUUCUUCUGAGUGCCUCUGGUUGGACUCAAAUCGACAACCUUUUUGUUACCAGCUGAGAGUGUUAACUGUUUGCACCACCCAUAGUAAUUUUUCUUCCAAGUAGGGAGGUAGUAAUCAAGUGAUUUUCAUUUUUUUAAAUAUCUGCAUAAGGAAAGAGAACUGAAAAGGGCAGUGAGGAAAAUUUAGUCAGCUCUGUUGAAGCGACCGAGAACAAUAGUAGUUUCCGUUUGUGCAUAUUUAGAGUGGCUCCUUGGCGGCCACAUGAGUCUAGGUCUGAAAUACUUGGGGCAUGAGUGAGGGAAGCAUUGAAGUGGAAAUUCCUGGAGUGAGUGGGGUGCUAGCCAUGGCCCCAGUGUUACUCUCAUUUCUUUUUUGUGAAUGCUUUGCUAGUAAUAGCCUUGCAGAUCAGCUUGCUGUAAUCCACACCCUGUCCCUACAUGGUGCUAAUUGCAUUAAGCCACAGCCCCAAGGUGGUGUUUUCAAAGUUGAUAGUGUGAGGGCCUGUUAGAAGGUCUUGCACCAUAUUUGAGCCAACCAAAUUGUUGACUGCCAUUCAUGUUCGUUCAUGGUGUCCCUGAAAACCUGCUCUAUGCCAAGCUCUGUGCUAAGCACCAGGGGUAUAAAAAUGGCAGACAGUGUCCUGUAGUAAGGAACUCGCAAUCUAGUGAGGGACAGGAGGACCCCUACUCUGCCUGUUACACAGCAGAUAUAACCUUUGAGGAAGGAUGUCCCAGGCGGUGAGAACAUGGGCAGGCACAUGGAGGCAGGAAGGGAAAAGAUGCAUGGGGGAGGGGCACAGGGACAAGGGCCCUUCAGCCCGUGUGAGCUCCUUGAGAGAGGGCUCCUGGGUCUCAUCCGUCUUUGUGUCCCUGUGCCUAGCACAGGACCCGCACACAGGGGCUGCUGGGUAAAUGUUUUUUGAGAGAAUGGAUUUCAAGUUUACGUUCAAUAUGCUAAGCCCCAUGGACAGAAAGUAAAAGACAAGUGAUAUUAAACUCCAUUUGGGCCCACUGCCCUCUUCACCUUCAAGCCUCUUUAAUUUCUUACUUUCAAAUGCAAGGAAUAGGUACCUAGAACUAGGGGGACCAUGAAUCUGGUGGCUGUGAAGGUCCAUAUUGGGUGUGGACAGCAGACCUGGUGAUACUUGACAACCAUUUCACAAAUGAGAGAGUGGGCUUCAGGACUCUGGGGGAGAUGAGGCAGCAUGGGGCCCUCUGCUUCCUGGAAGUGUUUCCCGGAAGUGCCCAGUAAACACUUACCAGUCAUUUCCUGCAUGGUGAAGCCCGUGCUGUGUCUUAGAGCCCUAGUUCAGGUGGGGUGGUGUGGCUGGAUGCUGGCAUUUGGUGGCUCUUGGCCCCAUUCGGAUAGUGAAACAAAGGGGCCCUCCUGCCUGCCUGGCCUCUGGGAGAUGGGGUGGCGGUACCAAUCUGUGGAGGUGGUAGUGAGCGCAGUGAGGGGAACCUGUUACCUGGUGGUCUCUUGGUUUAGUGAGCUAAACAGAAACAUGGGACACCCCCUGUGGAUACUGGGGGCCUGACUCGGACAUGGACACAGAUUACUCUGCCCCUAUGCUCCUUCCAAAGAAAUGCCACCCUUCCUGGAGGUAGAGGGGACCUUCCCUGGCCCCAGUCUCUAGGAUCUUUGCUGUGGCUGGCCAGACAGCUGGGAUUCGGCUUUGCUAAAGUUGGGUUGAACAAGUGGGUUCUAGAAUGUGUAAGGGCAACCAGAGUGUCUGUCCAGACUGAGUUGCUGUUUAGGUCUGACAGAUCCAUCUGAUUUUAAAUGCACUGUUUUCCAAAGUUAAUAGGUGGUGGUGUGAAAGGGGCUGGCGUGAAGAGUGGCGAUGCUCUUAGUUCCUUUGAUGUUAUGGGAAGGUCUCUUGUCUUCUCCCUUUCAUUUGCAGUGGCCCUCUUUCCUUCUUAGGAUCAUUUAGAGUUCCUUGGUAUCAUGGAUUGAAUUUUGUACCCCCAAAAUAUGUGUCAACUUGGUUAGGCCAUGGUUCCCAGUAUUGUAUGAUAGUCCUCCAUUUUGUGAUUUUCCUAUGUGUUAUAAAUCAUAAUGUCUGCCUGUGGUUAAAGAGGAUUAGGGAGGAAUAUAACACCCUUGCUCAGGUCACAUCCCUGAUCCAAUGGAAAGGGAGUUUCCCUCGAGUGUGGCCUGCACCACCUUUUAUCUUACUAGAGAUGAAAGGGAAGCAAGCAGAGUUGGGAACCUCAUACCACCAAGAAAGAAGCACUGGGAGCACAUCCUUUGGACCCGGGGUUCCUGCACAGGGAAAGAGUGAUGACAAGGACCUUUCUCCAGAGACAGAGAAAACCUUCCCUUGGAUUUGACACCCUGAAUUUGGACUUCUAGCCGAAUAGACUUUAAGAGAAUAAACUUCUAUUUGUUGAAGCUGUCCACUUGUGGUAUUUCUGUUACAGCAGUACUAGAUGACUAAGACACCUGGGGUCAUGUGAACACUUGUGGGUCUAUCCCCUAUUCUGUAGGGGAACAAGGUGAGGGAUGUUAUGGUCAAGUAAGUUUGAAAAGCUUUGGGCUAAACAAAAUCAAACACAUCUUUCCUGUAGGACCUUUAGUGUGCUUAUGAUUCUUCAAGAGGAAGGGGGAUAUAAAAUUCUUAUUUUCCCCAGAGAGCCCUGGUGGCUCAGUGGUUAAGCAAUUGGCUGCUAACCAAAAGGUUGGCAGUUUGAAUCUACCAGCUGCUCCUUGGAAACCCGAUGGGGCAGUUCUACUCUGUUCUCUAGGGUCUCUACGAGUUGGAACCGACUUGAUGGCAGCAGGGUUUUUUUUUGUGUAUUUUCCCCAGAUUUCUGUCUUACGUUGUAUCUGCCUGUCUUUCUUUCUUUUAGAAGUACCUCAUGAGACUAGUGUUUUCUGGAAUCUGCUGUAGGAAGUUAAUUUAUUCAUUUAUUCAACAAAGUGUUUAUUGAAUACCUACUGUGUACCAGUCACUGUUGUAGGUACUUGGGAUACAUCAGCCACCAAUUCAGACCAAGAUCCCUGCCCUGGAGAAACUUACAUUCUAGUGGAACCAGUGAACACUGUUAUGGGUUCAACAAUGUCCCCCCAAAAUAUGUGUUGUAAAUCCUAACCUCUGUGCCUGUGGUUAUAAUACCAUUUGAGAAUGGGUCGUCUUUGCUAUGUUAAUGAGGCAGGAUUAGCAUGGGGUGUAUCUUGAGUCAAUCUCUUUUGAGAUAUAAAAGAGAUUAAACAAGCAAGCAGAGGAGAGAUGGGGUAAGAUAGAUGCCAAGACACAUGGAGAUAGAUCUCCAAGGAACCAGAAAGCAGGAGCUGAAGAGACAGGGACCUUCCUCUGGAGCCAACAGAGAGAGAAAGCCUUCCUGGCACCCUGAAUUUAGACUUUUAGCCUCUUAAAAUAUGAGAAAAUAAAUUUCUGCUUGUUAAAGCCAUUCACUAGUGGUAUUUCUGUUAUAGAAGCACUGGAUAACUAAGACAAACACCUGUGUCAGGCAUGUGAGUUAUCACCAGAAAACCCAAAAACCAAACCCGUUGUUGUUGAGUCAGUUCCAACUCAUAGCAUUAUCACUACUAUUAUCCUGUUUAACCCUCAAAACAGUCCAGUGAGAUAGAUGAACCAUUUUGUAGUUGAGGCAGCUGGGGCUGGAAAGGGUAAAGUGACUUGCCCAUUUUGGCCGCAUUGUCCCUUUUGGAUUAGUCCUUUGAAUUGCAAGCGGAGCUGGUGAAAUAAGGAACGCUGGAAGAGAACUUAGGGUCUGUGGUCGGGAUGUUACGGGCCUUGCUACUAUACCGUUGUGUCCCUUUAUGAAGGCCCAAUGGAGAAAUUUCUCUCAGUCUCCAAAUUAGGCAGGGAAGGCGGUGGUUGUCUGGAACAACUGGUUUCUUUUCAUGUUAUGGGCACGAAGAAUCUUGUGGCUGAUCGUGUUUCCCUUUGGCUUUGGUUACUAAACACCUGAGAGCUAGAUUUGUGACCCAUCUCAACAGUUCUUUGGGAAGGAACCACGUGGUAUGUACUUCCACGUGCUAAUCUUACCCCGGCUUUUAUUAUUUUCCCUACAUUUAUUUUCUUCUGGCCUAAUUCUCUUGACCAUUUAAAUUAUUCUUUUGUGUCGUUUGUAUUAUUCUAAGCCACUGUUAAAUCCUUGGUGGAAUGGAGCUGGGUAUAACUAAAUUUAAAAGUAAUGGUAAGAUGAUUUGUGUAAGAUUCCCCCAGCUACAUGUAUGGAGACCAGGCUCCAAGCUCAGCCCUCCCGGCUUUGGGUCCACCCUCUUUCCACUAUACUACGUGCUUUAACAGAUUACAAUCCACCAGGUCCCUUCCCAGCGGGAGCCAGGGCCUAUUUGGCUCUUCCAGCCAUCGUUUUGUGGGUUCCAGAGGAAGCUGGGUUGGCUGAAUUGGAGGUCUUGAGUUGCCUGAAUUGAUCUGAAUGCCACACAUGUAGCUCAAGCAAAGCUCCGGGCUGCAGAUUCCUUCUUGCGGAGGGCCAGUCAGCCUUACCCAGGAGAGAGAUGGUGCCUCUAAUUCCUGGUCCCUGGUGCUUAAGAUUCAUAGGUGGGGACCAGACAAGAUGAGCACUGUAUGCUACUAGGAAACUGUGGUGGUGUAGCAGUUAAGUGCUACUGCUGCUAACCAAAAGGUUGGCAGUUCAUAUCCACCAGGAGCUCCUUGGAAAUUCUAUGGAGCAGUUCUACUCUGUCCUAUAGGGUCACUAUGAGUCAGAAUCGACUGGAUGGCAGCGGGUUUGUUUCUUUGUUUUUUUUGUAUGCUCCUUGCACCUACUUCCCAUUCAACACCCUCAUCACAACCCUGGGAGAGAGAAAGGGAGCAAGAGCAGGUGGUAUCAGGCCCAUUUUUUAUGGAUGAGGAAACUGAGGGUCAGAGAGGUUAAAUGAUGUCCCCCACCAGGGAAUGGCUGAGCCUGUACCCCAACAUAACACAUUGACUUCCUGGCUGUUCCCAGGCCAGAAGGCACCAAUGAGACCUCUCUGAACACUUCUGUGGGGCAGCAGGUAGCAUGGAGAGGGAGAAGAGCUUAGGAUUUGGGAGUUGGGUGACAUGAGGCUUGAGUCUUGGCCAGGAACUGUGUGCAUGUGGGUAAGUCAUUUCUGUGAGCCUCAGUGGCUUCAUCUUUAAAAUCAGAACUCAAUUCCUGCCCUGCAGCCUCACAGGGUUGUGGUGAGAAUUGAAUGAGAUGACGAAUAUGGGCGCAUCCGGUGUUAAGCACUGCUCCUAUAUGUUGUGCUCUCUGUAGUCAGCUUCUGCUGCUACUGAAAAUGCAAACAUUUAAGAACUAUUUACCACUGUAUCAGCCACUGCAGUCAAUGUUAUAUAGACUAUUUUAUUGAACACACAAGACAGGUGGACGAUGCAACAACAACAAAAACAAAUCCAUUGCUGUCGAGUUGAUUCCAACUCAUAGCAACCAUGUAGGACAGAGUAGAACUGCCCCAUAGGGUUUCCAAGGAGCGCUGGAGAAUUUGAACUGCUGGCCUUUGGAUUAGCAGUCAUAGCUUUUAACCGCUAUGCCACCAGGGUUUCCAAGUAGAUUUUUAGGGGCUAUUAUUAUUCCUUUUUUACAGAUGUGGAAAUGGAAGCUUAAAAAAGGUUAAGUAAUUUGCUCAAGGUCAUAGAGCUAUUAGGUGGUAGAGCCAAGAUUCGAACCCAGGUAGCUGACCUUACAGCUGUACUUAUCAGCACUAUGGAGCCCUGGUGGCUCAGCGGUUAAAGCACUUGGAUGUUAAUCAAAACAUUGGAGGUUUGAACCCACCAGCCACUCCGUGGGAAUAAGAUGUGGCAGUCUGUGUCCGUAAAGAUUUACAGCCUUGGAAACCCUCUGGGGCAGUUCUGCUCUGUCCUAUAGGAUCCCUAUGAGUCAGAAUUGACUUGACAGCAGUGUUUUUUUUAAAUCACCGCUAUCAUAUAGAAAGGAGCCCUGGUGGUGCAAUAGUUAAAUGUUGGGCUGCUAACCUAAAGGUCAGUAGUUCAUAUCCGGCAGCCACUCCUUGGAAACCCUAUGGGGGCAGCUCUACUCUAUCCUAUAGGGUUGCUACAAGUUGGAAUUGACUUAAUGGCAAUGGGUUGGGGUUUUUUUUUUUUUAGUCAUAUAGGAAACAGCAGACCCCUGGGACCUUCCUGGGUGAUGGCAUGUAUGCAUGUCAGUCUGGUAGGGGCAGUCAGGACCGUCUGGGGCAGGGAGUUGGAUGUGAAUGGACGUUAGUGCUGGAAGGGCAGUAGGGCCUGGGACUUGGCUGGAUAACAGCCUGGGGUGAGUGACCUCAUCCCUGAGCUUCAGGUUUUUCACCUGUAAGAUGGGCCUAUGGUAAUAGACCUUAUGGGGUUAAAUGAAAUAGGGUUGCAUACCAGUACCAGUACCAGGUGCUGUCAAGUUGACUACAACUUGUGGUGAACCCAUGUGUGUCACAGAGUAGAACUGUGCUCCAUAGGGUUUUCAGUGGCUGAUAUUUUGGAAGUAGAUCACCAGGCCUUUCUUUUGAGGUACCUCUGGGUAGACUUGACCUUCCAACCUUUCGGUUAGUUGCCAAGCAUGUUAACCAUUUGUACUACUCGGGGACCCCAUAGAUAACUAUGUAAGGUGUACAUUGGUAUAAAAAUGGCCAUAACAUAUGAGAGACAUUCCUCAGCCAUGCAGAGUAGAUGUAAACUAGCAGGAACAGCCACCUCUGCUUUUUAGAAUCAUCUUCCUUGCUGAGAUGGUUUGAGCACCCUGCUAUGUGGCAUUGGCUCAUCUCCGGGCUUGGAAACAGCACCUGAGUUGUAGCCACAGACCCUUGCUGUGCGUCAGUGUUCUCAUCUGCUAGGGAAUGCUACCUGCUGUCCUUCCUUGCAUGUGCCAUGUCUGUGAAAGUGUUCUGUUGGACACGGAAAGCACCUUGCAGAGGCCUGCCAGCUGCAGAGUGCCAGGUUGCAAGGAGGACGGGCAAGGGACAAAGGGGAGGACAUUUCAGUGUCAUGGUUUCUCAUAGAUCUUUGGACAGAGACACUGGGUUCAGCCCAAGGCACAGGCCUACCGAGAAGCAAAGAGUCAUAGGAGUGCCAAAGUGCUACCACUAACUCUUGGGAGGUUUUACUGUUUCAAAAGAACUCUAUAAACUGUAGAGCACUUUAGAAAUGUAAGUUAGUUCCUGUGCUGACAUGUGAUGAAAACAAAACUCACAAAAAAGUGAUGGAUCUGCCAGGCUGGGGUGUGGGAGAUGAAUAUAUAUGCUGUGUGUGGGUAUGAUUUAUUUCUGAUUAUAAAAAUCAGCUUAUUUAUGUGAAACUUGGAAAACAGAGAAAAGCAUAAAGCUGAAAAUAACAUUAUCUGUAAUUUACUAUCUAGCUACAUCAUUUUAUUUUUUUACUGUGCGUAUGUGUACAGGAUUUCUUAAUAACAUUUUACAUCCUGGAAAAUGUUCACUACUUCUUUCAACCAAGUCGUUGAGAGUCCAUUUUGCAAAGUCCUAGCGUGGUGCCAGGCACAAGGUACGGACCCAGGGAUGUUGCCGAUUGAAGAUGGGAUUGUGUGAGCUCUGCCAAGGUCGGGGGUUGGGGGCAGAGGGUGGCCAGGAGUGGCACAAAACCCUGGACCUGCCUUCUGAGAAUUGGGAAGAGUCUUAAAAGUAAAGCCCGUGGGAUGACAGACUGGGGUUACAGGAGCCAGAGGGGGACUUUUUCUUUCUUUCUUCCUCUCUCCUUCCCUCCCUCCUUUUCUUCCCUCCUUUCUUCUUUUUAGUCACUGUAAACCUUUUAAUAGGAGUCCUGGUGGUGCAGUGGUUAAGCACUUCGCUACUAACUGAAAGGCUGGCAGUUUGAACCCACCAUUCGCUCCUCCAGAGAAAGGUGUGGCAGUCUGCUUCUGUAAAGAUUUAUAGCCUUGGAAACCCUAUGGGGCAGUUCUGCUCUGUCCAAUAGGGUUGCUAUGAGUCGGAAUCCACUCGAUGGCAAUGGAUUUGGUUUUUUUGGGUUUAAACCUUUAUUGCAGCUCCUAAGUUCCUGCAUGAAUUGGUCCUUGAUUCUCUCCUACGUUGUCUCUCAGCCCUCUCCCUUUGAGUGGGGCACUUUUCAUUCUUCUGUUUAGGUUUUCUUUUCUUGUCAGGUACAAAUAAUAGGAAUACUUUUUUUUUUUUAAUUUCCGUAAAUAGCAGCUAAUUAACGAUAUAAAUGCAAUCCCUUUGGAGACUGGAAACAGGCACAGGAGAAACAGGUUAAGUGAGAACCUGAGAUCCUUUGUAAGUGCCAGUGACGGGGGAGGGGUGCCAGGGGCCCAAGCGAACAAAUCCCUCAUUCUAAACAGCCUUUCCUUAGACUUGAUGAGCUUCAGAUUUGAGUAAGUGACAGCCCCUUUUAUUUCCUGCUUUGUUCUCUCCCAGGUACAAAUUAAAUUGACCACAGCCUUCAUUCAUGCAAAUGGAAGCUGGCAGCUGCCCCAGGCAGGGUUAGAUACCUGGGAGGAUAAAGCUAGGCCUCUCUGGUUGGGGGGAGUCAAGUUACGUGUGUGUGUGUGUGUGUGUGUGUGUAUGCAUGCAGGCGCCUGUGCAGACCUCAGAGAGGCCUGCAUAAAGCUGUUAAUUCUGCCUUUCCAGGCUGCUCAAAUUUAAGUUGCUACCGUACAAUCUCUAUGUUCUUUUUUCUGCCUUUGGGACACCUUCUGGUUAAGAAAGGAGUCUCUGAGUGGUGCAAACCGUUAACUAACCCUGGUGUAAAUGGGUGCUAACCAAAAGGUUGGCAGUUCGAGUCCUCUGUAAGUGCCUCAGAAGAAAGGGCUGGUGAUCUCCUUUUCAAAAAACCAGCCAUUGGAGCUGAUGGGGCACAGUUCUACUCUGACACACUUGGGGUCAGAUGAGUCAGAAUGGACUCCAUGGUAACUGAUAGUUUUUUUCCUGUUGAGGAAUGUGGAGGUGGCAGGAGAGAGGCAGGCAUUUGGCCCUUAGGUGCACAACAGAGAAGGAUGCUUAAUGGUAAGGAAGCGUCCUUCCUAGUUCACCUCUCUUGCACAGGAUCCCGCUGGGCAGAUGCAUCGGGACAAGCCUGUCAUUAGACUAGAAUCUGCACCCAGCCCCACAAACAAAACACAAAAUACCUUUCUCUGAACCUGGCUUUGGGUUUUCUCUUGACAGGAGGAGUUAAUUGUGUUAGAACUGACUGAGGAGACUUCAGUCUGUGUUGAAUCCGUAAACUCUCAUUUGCCCAGAUCUAGAAAGUAGAACAUAAUGACCCCAGUGAAGGGGUGAAGAAAUGCUGAGAUGGACAUUUUGCCAGGGUCCCUGCAGUGUCUUAGGUGUUCCAGGGCAUGACCCUGAGGCUUCUCAACGAGCUGAGUUUGAUGAAGUUUCAUGGGGUUCUAGCCAGUAGUGAUCCAGAAGCAAUAAACCAAAAAACCCAAACCCGUUACCUUUGAGUCAAUUCCAACUCAUAACAACCCUGUUGGACAGAGUUGAACUACCCCGUAGGGUUUCCAAGGAGCGGCUGGUGGAUUUGAACAGGUGAUCUUUUGGUUAGCAGCUGAGCUCUUAACCACUGUACCACCAGGGCUCCCCAAAGGCAAUAAAUACUGCUUUUGGGGAGGCCUUCACCCCUGUCUCACUUGGCGAACGUUAAAUGUUAGCCAAAUGUCAGAACCCAUUAUGCAAAUGUAGAAACCAAUGAAUUUGAGUCAGUUACCCCUAGACUUGUAGCAUGAAAUAACCAUAGUUCGUGGUGGUGGUGGUAUGGAGAGUGGCGAUAUUCUUUGUUCCUUUGUUGUUAAGGGAAGGUCUCAUGUCUCCCCCACUCCCUCGAUUGGGGUGGCCCCUUUCCUUCUUGGGGUCAUUUAGAGCUCCCUGGGGUUAUGAGAACCCUUGUUCAGCUCACACUUUAGGGCUCGUAGCAGAGCUUGGUGCAGACUGGGUACAGAGCUAGGGUUGCUAUGAGCAGCUCAGUUACCCCAGGUGAGUCAGCAGCUGUGCAGGCACAGGUUUCAAACCCACUGAAAAUCAAGCUGCGUGUCGGGUCUACCGUUACCAGCCUCUAGUGUAGAGCUUCUGGAAGUAUGCUGACUGAGUUGGGUCUCAGUGCUGGGUGUCCCUAUACUUCUUCCUGCUCCUCCCUGGUGUGGACGUGUAAAUGAGCUACAAACAGGCUGCGUGGUCAAGCAAGAGAAGCAAUAAAGAAACGGGGUUGGACAAGUCACCUCUGAAUUAUCUGAAUUUUAUUUUGAGGGACAUGAGCCAGAGUGGGUAAAGAAAGAUCCCUAGAUAGAGAAAAAGAAAGAUCACCAAAAGGACAGCUGGCCACCAGUGAUUUUUUUUUUUUUUUUGAGAAAGGGCAAGGCAUUUUACUUUCUGUGGUAGGAGGGUAGGCUGGCCACAGCUCAGAACUGUGAAGAGAAGGUUGGGUUUUGUACGUGGGCCAUUUCUGGUAGUCAUUGUGGAAGCCCUAGGAUUUGGGGAAUCAGGGUAGGAAUGAAGCCAAAAUAGGUAUGCCAAAAGGACAGAUCCAUUGAGACUAGGUUGCAAAAUUUAGGCCACUGUUCAGAUUAACACGGCCUACACUCCCCUUACCCCAGCAUAUAACACCUGGAAAAAGAAAGCUGAUGAAGACUCUUUAGUGUGGGUCUAAUACAUUCAGCCUUUCGGUUCAAUCUAUUUCUUUUGCAUUUUUAUAGGACGUUGCAUUGCUUUUGCAGGAAAACUGGGUGCGUGUCUUCUGUGAAAUCAUUAUUUACAUAAUAUUCCUUUUCUUGACCAGAGGCAACAAGUGAUUCCUUUUGGCAAACUGCUUAAGAAUGGUGGGCACAGAGCAGACUGCAUGGGUUCAAACCCCUGCCUUGCCACUUACCUGCUGUGUGACCUUGGCUGUGUUACUUAGCCUCUCUGUGCCUCUGUUGCCUACUCUAUAAAAUGGGAAGAAUAAUAAAAGCUACUUGUAAGAUUGUUGUGGGAAUCAAGUAUGUUAAUCUAUGUGGAGGGCUUAGAGGAGUGCUGGGCACAUGGUUAAGUUUUAUUUAAACCCACUGCCUUCGAGUCCAUUUGGACUCAUAGAGACCCCAUAGGGUUUCCAAGGCUAUAAAUCUCUAAGGAAGCAGACUGCCAUAUCUUUUCUCUUGCAGAGCCACUGGUGGUUUGAAACCACCAACGUUUUGGUUAGCAGUCGAUCACUUUAACCACUGCACCACCAGGGCUCCUAGGUUGAUAUAAGUGCUGGUUAUAUAAAUAAUCGAGAUGCAUUGUACGGUAGUGAAAGGAGCACUGGUUUGGUGAGUCUAGAAACCUGGCUUCUGGCCCAAUUCUGAGAAACUGUAUGUGUCCUUGGGCCAGGCACUUUCCCUCUCUGGGCUUCCGAUUUCACACCUGUAAAAUGAAGAAAUUUGACUUAGCAGUGCUUUUUUUAGACUCCGUGUUAAGGGCUGGGGAUAAGGGGCAGCCCUAGUGCCGUUUGACAGAGGCUUCUAGACCUCCAUCCCCACUUCAGCAGAGCAGCUUGGGUUCAUUUCAUUUAUGGAUAGGGUUUCCAGAGUAAGAGUUGGUUUCGGAGAAAGAAAGCGUUCUCCUGCUUUUGCGUGUGUGUUAUAAACAACGAAGCGUACAAUUGGCUGAAUGAUAUGGCCUGAGGAUCCCUCACAGGGAAGGUGCAGGAGGGAAGUAGGUGAGCCAAGGGGAAGCCAGUGAAGAUAGGCCUGGUGGCUAUAGUGGGGCCUUGAGAGAGGAAUUUGAGGGGUCUGAGGUCACAUGCAAUGAGGUGGGCCUAAACAUGGGGUGGGGCAAAACCAACCAAUUGCUGUCAAGUCAAUUCCGACUUCUGGAAACCCCAUGUGUGUCAGAGUAGAACUCUGCUCCAUAGAGUUUUCGAUGCUGAUAUUUUGGAACCAGAUUACCAGGCCUUUCUUCCGAGGCAUCUCUGGGUGGACUUGAACCUCCAACGUUUCAGUUAGCAGCUGAGUGUGUUAACUGCGCCACCCAGGGACUCCCAUGGUGUGAGGUAGAGCAGUGGGAAAUGCUGUUAUCAAUUUUGUCCAAGUUAUAUGAGUUGAUUAACUUAAGAGGGAGGUAGAGAUGGCUUUGUGUGAUAGGUAUCAAGUUGCUUGUUUGGAUAAGGUGACUAGAGUUUGGAGGAGAAAUUAAGAAUGAAUAAAAUAACCCAUUGAAGAGGGGGGAAAAUGACUGUCUUAAAAGCAUAGGAAUUCAGUUUUAUUUUAACUUAAUAGUUCUUGCUGGAGGCUGCCUCAACUUGGACAAAACAGCUGUUGCCUGAGGGUCCCCGUUGGUAGCUAAUACUCUUACUUCUUCCUCCCUCUUUCCUUUUCUUUCCAUUCUAAUAAUCACAAGGACUUUCCAUGAUACCAGUGCCCAUUUGUACUUAGAGAAGAGAUUGUCUUGCCAAGUGGAAAACCCAUUCACAGGCUAAGUCUGUGCUUUCCAAACCGGACAUUUCCCUGGGUUUUAGGACUUGCUCACUCUUAUUGAAGUGAGUUCUAAUGUCUCCUACCAUUUCUUCAAUUGUAGUUUUAUUAGUUCCACAAUUUUUUUUUUUUUUUUUUUGGUGGGGGGACAGGGCUAAUGAUUGGUUAGGAGUCCCUGGGUGGGCUAAAUGUUUAAUGUCUUGGCUGCUAACUGAAAGGUUAUAAGUUUGAGUCUACCAAAGCACCUUGGAAGAAAGGCCCAACCAUCUACCACCAAAAACUCAGUCAUUGAAAAUCCUAUGGAGCAGAGUUCUACUCUGACACACAUGUGAUCUCCAUGAGUCGGAAUCUACUCAAUGGCAACUGGAUUGAAAUGAUUUGUCAAAACAGAGUUUUGAUUAUUUGAGCCCUGGUGGUGCAGUGGUUAAGUACUUGGCUGUUAGCCGAAAGGUCGACAGUUCAAAUCCACCAGCAGCUUUGCAGGAGUAAGAUGUGGCAGUCUGCUCCUGUAAAGAUUGUUGUUGUUAGGUGCUGUCGAAUUGGUUCAACUUAUAACCACCCUCUGUAGAACAGAACGAAACACUUCCCGGCCCUGGGCCAUCCUCACAGUCGUUAUUAUGCUCGAGGCCAUUGUUGUACCCACUGUGUCAAUCCAUCACAUUCGGGGUCUUCCUUUUUUUCAAUGACCCUCUACUUUACGAAGCAUGAUGUCCUUCUCCAGGGACUGAUCCCUCCUGAUAACAUGUCCAAAGUAUGCGAGACAUAGUCUCGCCAUCCUUGCCUCUAAGAAGCAUUCUUGUACUUCUUCCAAGACAGAUUUGUUCAUUCUUUUGGCAGUCCAUGGUAUCCAUGGUAUAGUCAGUGUUCUUCUCCAACACCACAAUGCAAAGGCAUCAGUUCUUCUUCUGUCUCCGGAUUCAUUGUCCAGCUUUUGCAUGCAUACGAGGCAACUGAAAACGCCAUGGCUUGGGUCAGGCGCACCCUAGUCUUCAAGGUGACGUCUUUACUUUUCUACCCUUUGAAGAGGUCCUUUGCAGCAGAUAUGCCUAAUGCAAUGCACAUUUGAUUUCCUGACUGCUGCUCCCAUGGGUGCUGAUUAUGGAUCCAAGUAAAAUGAAAUCCUUGACAACUUCAGUCUUUUCUCCGUUUAUCAUGAUGUUGCUCAUUGGUCCAGUUGUGAGGAUUUUUGUUUUCUUUAUGUUGAGAUAUUAUCUGUACUGAAGGCUGUAGUCUUUGAUCUUCAUCAGUAAGUGCUUCAAGUCCUCUUGACUUUAGCAGACAAGGUUGUGUCAUCUGCAUAACUCAAGUUUUCUUGGUAACCUUAUGGGGCAGCUCUGCUCUGUACUGUAGUGUUGCUGUGAGUUGGAAUUGACUUGACAGCAAUGGGUUUGGUUUUGUUUUGGUACCCUCCUAGGCCACCUCCCCAUCCAAAAAGCCUCUUUCAAAACCCAGCUCCAGUGUGCCUCGUCUAACAGGCCCCCCACCGGGACUCCAGCUCAUGCUCACAUCUUUCUAUACCACACCUACAGUUAGGGACUUCAUUAUUCCCUAGGUUUCAGUGUUUCACUCCCCAACUACACCGUUCACUGAAUUAGCACCAGAAGCUUGCAUGUAUCUCUUUUCUGUUUUUCUAUCCUGACUAGCCUUUUGUUUCUGUGCCUCUCUUACUUACUCACUCUAAUAUCAAAUCUGUGAACUAAGUUUCCUUGAAACUGUCACAGACAGCUGAUGCUAAUAGGAAUAAGAGCUGUGGACUGUGCUUCAGCCCUGUUCUGAAACCCUGUUCUGCCACUGCCUUUCCCAGCUGGUGAGCUGCACAUUUGGCUGUAGAAUGCAUGUGGAUUGCUAAGUUUCAUGCGUGAGCUGUGAUGUCAUUUCAUUCAUUCUGAGUGGCACCUACACCAGUGCUACCUGCAGCUUUGCCAGAUGGGGAUCCCUUCAUACUCAGCGGUAUUUCCUGAGCCCUGCAUAGAAGGCCUGACACAUGGUGGGUAAUCAGGAAAAGUCGAGUUUACAGAAGCCCCUUUGAGAGGCCAAGUUCUAUGGUCAUAGAAGGGAAAGUACAGGUGUAUUAAAUUUCUUCUGGGCUUCCUGCCCAGUUCCCUCUAGGGGCCUUCUGAUCGCUCUUCAGCAGUGCCAUCUGCCAGGGCCUGAGAGGCUAUGGGAAGGAGUGAGGUGAUGGGCUGUUGAUGCUGGGUCUUGUGGGUGUGCUGUGGGUUCUGAGUGAGGGGUUAGCACCUGGGCUGGAAGGAUCUGGAAUCUAGUGAGCCCGUAAAUCUAGGCUAACUGUGCUGGGUGGUGCUAACUCAGAGGUCUUUCGGGGUGUAUAGGUGACCUGGUGAAAGAUGAUAAAUGGGCCGUGGGCACUUUUUCUCAGUCUUGGAGGUUAAAAAGAGAGGAUGGUAACAGAAACAGGAGUUUUUACACUCUGCCUAAAGGGACAGCUGCCGAUCUGUUUUUGGUUGCCCUGCAGAAGUUUAGGCCCAGAAAUCCAGAAUUUUUUAUAAUUUAUUUUUUUAUCGUUAUUGAGAGUAUACACAGCAGAACAUACACCAAUUCAACAAUUUGUACGUGUACAUUUCAGUGACAUUGAUUAUAUUCUUCAAAUUGUGCAACCAUAGCUACCUUCCUUUUCUGAGUCGUUCCUCCACCAUUAACGUACACUCACUGUCCCCUAAGUUUCCUAUUUAAUCUUUUGAGUUGCUGUUAUCAGUUUGAUCCCGUAUGGAUAGAUCUUAAACGAGCACAAUGUUCAAGACAGACCUUCUUUACUAGUUAAACUAAACUAUUGUUUGGUUUUUAGAAAACUUCAAGGAAUAUUAUUGGUUUAAGGUUGAAAGGUUAUUUCAGGGGAGUAGUCUCGGGUUCAUCCAGCCUCCAUGGCUCCAGAAAGUCUGAAUUCCAUGAGAAUUUGAAAUUCUGUUCUUCAUGUUUCCUCUUUUGAUUAGGAUUCUUCUAUAGAAAAUCCAGAUUUCUUCAUACCACGUCUCCAAAUUUUUAAAUGCUGGCAACCAAUUCAACUAUACUAUCAUGCCUGCUGGCCUCUGAGGGGGAGGUAUGGCUGGUGAAUGCCAGAGGCCACCGGGGGACACACACAUGCCACAGGGUCAUAGUAGGUGGGUGGUUAGUUAUCAUCCAGAUGGUCAGGUACCAGGAUUGCUGCAGAUAUGGACAUAACAUGCAGAGCAGGCAGAGCAGAUGCCAAAAGUUGGCAUCAAGGAGGCUUUGAUGACGAAGGCCAAGUUCUUUGCCUACCAGAAAGCCUUCUGUUCCUUGUCUGCCUCCCUUUUCCACCUUCUAGGGCUUCCCACUGCCUGUAGUGUAAGUCUGAAUUACCCAGCCUGGCAUUUAAGGCCUCCUACUCCCUGUUUAUGUAGGAUACAAUAUAAAUGGUGCCUCUGCUUCAGUGUGUGGUCUCCAUGUCUUUCUUCAGAGUGAUACCCUCCCGAAUCCCUCUAGAUGUCCUUGCUGCAGCUGCCUCAGAUGGCCAGGUGUUCCUGGACAUGCCCACAAUUUCUUCCAGCCCUGGUUUUCCUCAUGCUGUUCUUCCUCCUGGAAUGCUUGCUCCCCUAGCUAGUGGAAAUCCCACUCCCCACUCACCCUUCAUGGCUGUGCACAAAAGCACAUUCUCCCUGAAGUCGGCUGCCCGCCUCACUCUGUAAAUUUGGAAUAAGUUGCAAUUUUCUCUCAACUUCCACAGCACUUUCCCACCAUCUCCCCACAGUCCUUGUGUCACAGGGGUUCAGAGUUCUGUCCUAAUAAAUGAUAAAGUCAUGGUGUGAGGGUUCAAAUCUUAGUCAUCACUAUAUCCCCUCAGUGCUUGGCUCAGGGUAAUAGUCAACAGAGAUUUAUUGAAUUAGACAUUCCUUGGUGCGGUGUAGGAACUGAUCCUCAAGAGAAAGCUGCUUAAAGUCUACAGUGAGCACAGGGAAGUUGUGUGGAACAGAGCAUGCGGGGAGCAGGUAAGGCUGAAUCUAGCUCCCCUUCAGCCUGAGGCAACACUGUACCUUAGACUUGGGAUGGCAUUGUCCUGCCUGUCUUCCUUGCUGUGGCGGUGAGCCCUGUGUGGGCCUGACUUGAUUACUGAGAUUUCAGGUCUGUCUUUGACAUCUGUAAGAAGCUGAAGGCAGAGUGUAGUGAUGGUGGAAACCAGUAACCAGUUGCUGUCAGGUUGGUUCUGACUCAUGGUGACCCCAGGUAUUGCAGAGUAGAACUACACUCCAUAGAAUAUUCAAGCUUUGACCUUUUUUUGGAAGCAAAUUGCCCAGCCUUUCUUCUAAGGCAUUCUGGGUGGGUUUCAGCACUUCGGUUAGUAGUUAAACGCUUAACCAUUUGUGCCACCCCAGGACUCCUAGUGGGCAGAAUAGUGUCUCUGAAAAAGAUGUAUCUCCAUCCUAACCCCUAGAGCUUUAAAAUAUGGCCUUAUUGGAAAAAAGAGUCUUUGCAGAUGUAAUGAAGUUAAGGAUCUUGAGAUGAGAUCAUCCUGGAUUAUCUGGGUGGGCCCUUAAUCCAAUGAGAAGUAUUCUUAAAAGAGACAUGCAGAAGAGAAGCACCCAGGGAGAAAGGGAAGGUCUUGUGGAGAUGGAGGCAGGGAUUGGAGCGAUGCAGCUAUAAGCCAAGGAAGGCCUGGAGCCACCAGAAGCUGGAAGAGGCAAGGAAGGACUCUUUCCCUAGAACCUUUGGAGGGAGCAUGGCUCUGCUGACAGACAUCUUGAUUGUGGACUCCUAGCCUCCAAGACUCUGAGAAGAUAAAUUUCUGUUGUUGUAAGCCAUCAAGUUUGCAGUAAUUUGUUUUGGCAGCCCCAGGAAAUGAACAUGAAGGGGCAGAACAGAACACACCCAGGUCCAUUCUUUUCCCAGCCAGGAUGGCUUCUCUCCAGAUGUACUUCCUCCUAUUCACCAAGGCUGCUCUUCUGUGGCUUCUUUGAGGUGGAAGGCUGUGGGGACAGCCUAGUUGUUGUCAGUCAAAGGUCCACCUACCAGGAGAACAAGAAGAGGCUAUGUGUUAUGGAGAGAACCCUGGUUCUGGAGUGUGGAGUGUGGAUUUCUAGUGGCAGGUUUGCCUUUGUUCAGUUGUGUGACUUUGGGUAACACUCAUAAACUCUGAGUUUAUUUCCUCACUUGGUUUAAGUGGUUGCUAAGAUCCUCUUGGGCCCUGACAUCCCGUGACUCAGUGUUUUGUGGACUGAGGAAGAACAUCUCAGAGGUUCAUGACCACCUUUGUCAUUCCCUGCCCACUACCACACACAAAAUACACACCCAUCCACCGCAGGGCUUAGAGUGGGAUGAUUUAGAGGAAAGGCUUUAUUUUUAAGGCCCUUUUUUUUAAGGAGCCUUGGUGGCAUGGUAGUUGAAGUGCUCGACUGCUAGCCAAAAGUUUGGUAGUUGGAACCCAUCAGCUGCUGUAUGGGAGAAAGAUGUGGCAGUCUGCGUCCGUAAAGAUUACAGCCUUGGAAGCCCUAUGGGGCAGCUCUAUUCUGUCCUGUAAGGUCACUAUGAGUUGGAAUCAACUGGACGACAGUGGGUUUCAGGUUUGAAGGCCCUUUUCAAGGUUUGAAACAGGAUUUCUUGACAAUGGCCAGAUUUGGAUUAACCUUGGAAUCCCCUUGAGGUAACAGCCGGAAAGGGCAGAGGGUGGGUAAAAUCCCACGAGUCAGAGUCCUCCCAUGUAGGAAUCAAGAGAUUUCACAUGAAAGACCAGAUUUUGAGGGUUUUUUUUUUUUUUUUUUUAUGAAGAACUGGAUGAUGGGCAACACUGGUCCACAUUCUUGGGAGCGGUGGGGGUCGGGGGUAGCACAAAGGGCAAGGAUGCGGGGAGGGGGGUUGGCACAGAGUGUUCCAUGAGCCACUCCCAGCUCCCUGGCCAUUGAGGCCAUUGCCACUCUUCAGCCCCAUUUCUCCACCACAGGAGAGAUGUUUCUCAGUGCCUGUGCCUCUAUUGAAAGCACAAAAUUGAAAGUGACCAAGAAGACCUUGGGUUUCAAGAAAAGUGUUGUUGUGUCUUGUGGAGUUGAUUCCAACUCAUAGCAACCCUAUAGGACAGAGCAGAACGGCCCUGGAGAGUUUCCGAGGCUGUAGUCUUUACGGGAUAGAUCACCAGGUCUUUUCUCCCACAGAGCCGCUAGUGGGUUCAAACUGCUGACCUUUUAGUUAGCAGCCAGCCAAGUGCUUAACCACUGUGCUACCAGGGCUCCUUCAAGAAAGGAAAGAGAGCAUAAUUACUCCACACUAGCAAAGAUGUUUCCUUUGUGUGUGUGUGUGUUUAAGGCAGCAUAUUUCUUUUUUCAUUAGAUAGACAUACUACAGAGCAUUUGACCAAUCUGCUGUUUUAUUUUUUUUUUUAAUUGUG
Loxodonta africana (African savanna elephant) is the source of this 37875-nucleotide long non-coding RNA. RefSeq lists it as uncharacterized. The record is from RefSeq and is a predicted model, not a curated record. Lineage: Eukaryota; Metazoa; Chordata; Mammalia; Proboscidea; Elephantidae. The transcript is spliced from 2 exons.